This 241-nucleotide long non-coding RNA is filed under the name Apteryx rowi (Okarito brown kiwi). RNAcentral describes it as "lncRNA (ENSARWG00000006797.1)". Lineage: Eukaryota; Metazoa; Chordata; Aves; Apterygiformes; Apterygidae. The record is from RNAcentral.
ACUGCUGUUCUGAACAGCAUUUUAACCUCUUUUCUUUUUCCACAGGUAUAAAUGACUGUCAGUAUUGCUCUGUGCUUCAUAAUCAUGCCCUGCUUCUAAAUUUCAGGUGUAAUCUUUCAAUAUGUUUGUUAUGGACUGCACCCUUGCCUGAUGCUGAUGAAAAGACCCCUGAUGUAGAAGUGAAAGCUUUGCCAUUUUGAGGAGCAAUAGCAAGAACAUGAGAUGAGACUUGAUCAUUUUC